GGUCGGUUAGCUCAGUCAGUUGAGUGUAGCGCUAGCAACGCUAAGGUCGUGGGUUCGAUUCCCAUUCAGUCCU
This is a transfer RNA of Apaloderma vittatum (bar-tailed trogon), 73 nucleotides long. It matches the Rfam family "tRNA". Rfam says of the family: Transfer RNA (tRNA) molecules are approximately 80 nucleotides in length. Their secondary structure includes four short double-helical elements and three loops (D, anti-codon, and T loops). Lineage: Eukaryota; Metazoa; Chordata; Aves; Trogoniformes; Trogonidae. The record is from Rfam.